This 253-nucleotide ribosomal RNA is filed under the name uncultured Chloroflexota bacterium. RNAcentral describes it as "uncultured Chloroflexi bacterium partial 16S ribosomal RNA". It matches the Rfam family "Bacterial small subunit ribosomal RNA", at positions 524 to 776 of the family's 1533-position model. The record is from RNAcentral. Lineage: Bacteria; Bacillati; Chloroflexota.
UACGUAGGGGGCGAGCGUUGUCCGGAUUUACUGGGUGUAAAGGGCGUGUAGGCGGCUUGGAAAGUCCUUGGUGAAAUCUCCUGGCUCAACUGGGAGGGGUCCAGGGAGACUUCCAGGCUCGAGGGCAGUAGAGGAGAGUGGAAUUCCCGGUGUAGUGGUGAAAUACGUAGAUAUCGGGAGGAACACCAGUGGCGAAAGCGGCUCUCUGGGCUGUCCCUGACGCUGAGGCGCGAAAGCGUGGGGAGCAAACCGG